This 233-nucleotide long non-coding RNA is filed under the name Lathyrus oleraceus (garden pea). RNAcentral describes it as "Pisum sativum (pea) long non-coding RNA (PSAT_LNC013069)". The record is from RNAcentral. Lineage: Eukaryota; Viridiplantae; Streptophyta; Magnoliopsida; Fabales; Fabaceae.
UUAAAAAAAAGAAAAGAUGAAAAUUUGAAAUAAAAUAAAAUAAAAAUAAUUAUUAGGGAACUCGAAAGAAUGAGAAGUCAACGGAUAUUGAAAAUAAAGACAAAUCCAAAAGUUGAAUCAUCGAUAAUAGUUGAUCCUAAAGAACGAGUGCAAGAAAGAAUUUCAGCACUAAUCCAUCAGAAUGAGCAUAGUGAAGAUAACAAUCGUAUUGACUCUAAACCUUUUCCAAAAUU